UUUUUUUUUAAAAAAAUUAUUUCUCUCUCUUUAAUUUGUUCGUGCAAGUGCGACGCAUAGCAGCCAACCUCGCCGAGGCGGAGACGACGGCGAUAUUGUCUCGUUCUCUCGCCUUCCCUCGUCGCCGGAUUUCGUCUCGCAGGAUUCGUCGCGCGCGUCCCCGUCGCCUGAUUCCUUUCGCCGUCCUCCUCGCUUGAUUCAUCUCGCAGGCGGCCGGUUCGUCCAAUGGCGAGGGAGGGAAUAUCCUACAUAUUAUUGAAGAAAAUGGAGGAGAUAACUGGUUCACAUGGCGAGCUGCUGUUGUCGUUGGGUGGAAGCAGGUAGCGGGCACAUGCUCUGGCAGUGAUGGUGAAGUUGGUGUGCUUGGUGACGUAAUUUGAUUACCUUUUGAAGUGAUGAGGAUGAAUUGACAAUUUUCCACUGGUUUUAGCAUAUGAGUGCACUGUGGUAUGUUGCUAUACACGAGCUCACAGGGAUCAGGGACGCUAGAGCACUCGGGCUUGACGGCGCUUUUUUAAUUUCUCCUCUUUCUCUUGGGGAGUCAUUUGCGCAUAUCGCUCCCGAUCUCUCUGUCUUUUUCGUAUAUUGGGAUCCAAGUGUGAAGAUGGCGAUCCAGAUGGUGUGGUAGCAUCAAGCAUGGAAGAUGGAGCUGUUGAUAAACACAUAUAUAGGCAAUAUAGAAAGUGUUAUUCAAGGAGUACAGGUAGACAAUUGCAUAAGCACUUGGCAAGCGAAAGGAUCAACUACGAUAUUAUACCAAGUCAUGAACAGUGCAUCGAGGCUACCUGAUGACAUUCUUACGAUAUACAUGUGUGUGCCUGAAAUUUAAACUUUCUUCUACUUCAGAGGCUACAUGAUGACAUUCUUGCUGGUUGCUGCUGCUAGCUGCUGUGCUACCUGGUGUAUUCUUUUCUUGCAAUUUUGCUCCUAGCUUCUAUGCCAAGCUAAUAUGUGGUGUGGUGUGGUGUGGUGUAUAUAUGUAACUAGCUAGCCUAUAAUCCUACUCGGUACGCUUACGCUCGGAGAGAAAAUCGGAGAUGUUGCGAUGGCACAACCGUGAUGUAAGCGGUGGACGGACGGACGGACGGACGAACGGAAAUGGCUGUUGAAGCAUAUUUCAGUUGCAUAUUUGUUUUUCCUACUACAGUUGACUAAUGCAGAUGAUGUGAACUACAGUAAUCUGUAUGUGACCAGCAUGUUCAUAUUACAGAUCAUGUUGACAUAGAGGAAGCAUAUUAUGUGCUAACAAUUUCUGAAGAAAAAUAUCUAUCUAUCUAUCUAUCUAUCUAUCUAUCUAUCUA
Molecule: small RNA, 1301 nt
Filed under: Oryza sativa Japonica Group (Japanese rice)
Lineage: Eukaryota; Viridiplantae; Streptophyta; Magnoliopsida; Poales; Poaceae
Description: sRNA Os04g0357200
Source: RNAcentral